GACGAACGCUGGCGGCGUGCUUAACACAUGCAAGUCGAGCGGUAAGGCCCUUUCGGGGGUACACGAGCGGCGAACGGGUGAGUAACACGUGGGUGACCUGCCCUUAGCUCUGGGAUAAGCCUGGGAAACUGGGUCUAAUACCGGAUAUGACUCCAUGACGCAUGUUGUGGGGUGGAAAGCCUUGUGCGGCUAGGGAUGGGCCCGCGGCCUAUCAGCUUGUUGGUGGGGUGAUGGCCACCAAGGCGGCGACGGGUAGCCGGCCUGAGAGGGCGACCGGCCACACUGGGACUGAGACACGGCCCAGACUCCUACGGGAGGCAGCAGUGGGGAAUCUUGCGCAAUGGGCGAAAGCCUGACGCAGCGACGCCGCGUGGGGAUGACGGCC
This 385-nucleotide ribosomal RNA is filed under the name uncultured bacterium. RNAcentral's name for it is "bacterial SSU rRNA". It matches the Rfam family "Bacterial small subunit ribosomal RNA", at positions 28 to 416 of the family's 1533-position model. The record is from RNAcentral.